UUUACGCGGCGUGGUUCAUUGUGUGUUUUUAUUUUUUAAUUGUUAUUGUUUAGCUUGAAAAUGUCUGCGGUGUGGAAUUUUUUCGCAAAAAAAGAAACAAUCAACUUGUUUCUUGUAAUUUAUGCGGUAAAGAAUAUACAACGUGAGGAAAUACUACAAAAAUUUAGCCACUCAUUUAAAAACAAAACAUUAUAAUGCUUAUAUGCAAAUGUUGAAGCAUCAGACCCUUUCAACAACGAAAAAAUCUAGGAAAAGAACUGAAGUUACUGCAUCAAUAGACAAUGAUGAUCCUGAUGUUGAUGUUACGUUGUCAAGAAAUAAAAGUUCAAGUCAGAACCAAAAUAUCACAGACGAUUCUUCGAAUUCUGCAGAAACUAAUUCCCACAACUAUGAACCUAAAAGAAGAAAACAAUCCACCCUUGAAAGUUGCUUAGAGCGGUUUAAGUUUUGAAGAAGGCGGACAGAAACAUAAUGAAAUUACUCAGGCAUUAAUUUAUAUGAUAUGUAAGGACAAUUUCCCACGAUCAUGUGUGGAAAAAAGUGGUUUGCAAAAAUUCACUCGUACUGUUAGUCCUCUCUAUAAGCUACCAUUCAGAAAAA
Long non-coding RNA from Cotesia glomerata, 600 nucleotides. RefSeq lists it as uncharacterized. NCBI's taxonomy places the organism in Eukaryota, Metazoa, Arthropoda, Insecta, Hymenoptera, Braconidae. The transcript is spliced from 3 exons. The record is from RefSeq and is a predicted model, not a curated record.